GAUGAACGCUGACAGAAUGCUUAACACAUGCAAGUCGACUUGAACUUCGGUUUGGGUGGCGGACGGGUGAGUAACGCGUAAAGAACUUGCCUCACAGAUAGGGACAACAUUUGGAAACGAAUGCUAAUACCUGAUAUUAUGAUUAUAUGGCAUCGUAUAAUUAUGAAAGCUAUCUGCGCUGUGAGAGAGCUUUGCGUCCCAUUAUCUAGUUGGAGAGGUAACGGCUCACCAAGGCGAUGAUGGGUAGCCGGCCUGGGAGGGUGAUCGGCCACAAAGGGACAGGGACACGGGCAUUACUCAUACGGGAGGCAGCAGUGGGGAAUAGUGGACGAAGGACCAAGAGUGUGAUGCAGCAAUUCUGUGUGUACGAUGAAGUUUUUCGGAAUGUAAAGUGCUGUAAGUUAGGAAGAAAAAAAUGACGGUACCUACAGAAGAAGUGACGGCUAAAUACGUG
RNAcentral lists this ribosomal RNA (454 nucleotides) under uncultured bacterium. Its description in RNAcentral is "partial 16S ribosomal RNA". It matches the Rfam family "Bacterial small subunit ribosomal RNA", at positions 28 to 507 of the family's 1533-position model. The record is from RNAcentral.